UAGUGUAGGGUGAAAUAUCCUUGUUUUU
Molecule: non-coding RNA, 28 nt
Filed under: Mus musculus (house mouse)
Lineage: Eukaryota; Metazoa; Chordata; Mammalia; Rodentia; Muridae
Source: RNAcentral